GUAGGUGGCAAGCGUUGUCCGGAAUUAUUGGGCGUAAAGCGCGCGCAGGCGGUUCUUUAAGUCUGAUGUGAAAGCCCACGGCUCAACCGUGGAGGGUCAUUGGAAACUGGAGAACUUGAGUACAGAAGAGGAAAGUGGAAUUCCACGUGUAGCGGUGAAAUGCGUAGAGAUGUGGAGGAACACCAGUGGCGAAGGCGGCUUUCUGGUCUGUAACUGACGCUGAGGCGCGAAAGCGUGGGGAGCAAACAGGGAUUAGAUACCCUGGUAGUCCACGCCGUAAACGAUGAGUGCUAAGUGUUAGGGGGUUUCCCGCCCCUUAGUGCUGCAGCUAACGCAUUAAGCACUCCGCCUGGGGAUACGGCCGCAAGGCUG
RNAcentral lists this ribosomal RNA (372 nucleotides) under uncultured organism. RNAcentral's name for it is "partial 16S ribosomal RNA". It matches the Rfam family "Bacterial small subunit ribosomal RNA", at positions 527 to 896 of the family's 1533-position model. The record is from RNAcentral.